Molecule: ribosomal RNA, 253 nt
Filed under: uncultured bacterium
Lineage: Bacteria
Description: partial 16S ribosomal RNA
Rfam family: Bacterial small subunit ribosomal RNA
Source: RNAcentral
UACGUAGGGUGCGAGCGUUGUCCGGAAUUAUUGGGCGUAAAGAGCUUGUAGGCGGUUUGUCGCGUCUGCUGUGAAAAUCCGGGGCUCAACCCCGGACUUGCAGUGGGUACGGGCAGACUAGAGUGUGGUAGGGGAGACUGGAAUUCCUGGUGUAGCGGUGAAAUGCGCAGAUAUCGAGAGGAACACCUGCGGCGAAGGCGGGUUGCUGGGCUGACACUGACGCUGAUGCGCGAAAGCUAGGGGAGCGAACGGG